This is a long non-coding RNA of Globicephala melas (long-finned pilot whale), 6228 nucleotides long. RefSeq lists it as uncharacterized. The record is from RefSeq and is a predicted model, not a curated record. Lineage: Eukaryota; Metazoa; Chordata; Mammalia; Artiodactyla; Delphinidae.
UUUUGUCAAUUUGUUUACUACGUGUCUCGGCUUGUUUCUCCUUGGGUUUAUCCUGCCUGGGACUCUCUGAGUUUCCUGGACUUGGGUGGCUAUUUCCUUUCCCAUGUUAGGGAACUUUUCAACUAUAAUCUCUUCAAAUAUUUUCUCUGGUCCUUUCUCUCUCUUUCCUCCCUCUGGGACCCCUAUAAAGUGAAUGUUGGUGUGUUUAGUGUUGUCCCAGAGGUCUCUUAGGCUGUCUUCAUUUCUUUUCAUUGCUUUUUCUUUAUUGUGUUCUGUGGCAAUGAAUUCCACCAUUCUGUCUUCCAGGUCACUUAUCCAUUCUUCUGCCUCAGUUAUUCUGCUUUUGAUUCCUUCUAGUGUAUUUUUCAUUUCAGGUAUUGUAUUGUUCAUCUCUGUUUCUUUGUUCUUUAAUUCUUCUAGGUGUUUGUUCUUCAGUUCUUCUAGGUCUUUGUUAAACAUUUCUUGCAUCUUCUCAAUCUUUGCCUCUAUUCUUUUUCCAAGGUCCUGGAUCAUUUUCACUAUCAUUAUUCUGAAUUCUUUUUCUGGAAGGUUGCCUAUCCUCACUUCAUUUAGCUGUUUUCUGGGGUUUUAUCUUGUUCCUUCAUCUGGUACAUAGCCCUCUGCCUUUUCAUCUUGUGUGUCUUUCUGUGAAUGUGGUUUUUGUUCCACAGGCUGCAGGAUUGUAGUUCUUCUUGCUUCUACUGUCUGCCCUCUGGUGGGUGAGGCUAUCUAAGAGGCUUAUGCAAGCUUCCUGAUGGGAGGGACUGGUGGUGGGUAGAGCUGGGUGUUGCUCUGGUGAGCAGAGCUGAGUAAAACUUUAAUCUGCUUGUCAGCUGAAGGGUGGGGCUGAGUUCCUUCCCUGGUGGGUUUUUGGCCUGAGGCAACCCACCACUGGAGCCUAGAGGCUCUUCAGUGGGGUUAAUGGUGGACUCUGGGAAGGCUCACGCCAAGGGGUACUUCCCAGAAGUUCUGCUGCCAGUGUCCUUGUCCCCACGGUGAGCCACAGCCAGCCCCUGCCUCUGCAGGAGACCCUCCAACACUAGCAGGUAGGUCUGGUUGAGUCUCCCCCGGGGUCACUGCUCCUUCCCCUGGGUCCCAGUGUGCACACUACUUUGUGUGUGCCCUCCAAGAGUGGAGUCUCUGUUUCCCCCAGUCCUGUUGAAGUCCUGCAGUCAAAUCCCACCAGCCUUCAAAGUCUGAUUCUCUGGGAAUUCCUCCUCCUGUUGCCGGACCCCCAGGUUGGGAAGCCUGACGUGGGGCUCAGAACCUUCCCUCCAGUGGGUGGACUUCUGUGGUGUAAGUGUUCUCCAGUCUGUGAGUCACCCACCCAGCAGUUAUGUGAUUUGAUUUUACUGUGAUUGCGCCCCUCCUGCCGUCUCCUUGCGGCUUCUCCUUUGUCUUGGAUGUGGGGUGUUUUUUUGGUGAGUUCCAGUGUCUUCCUGUCCAUGAUUGUUCAGCAGUUAGUUAUGAUUGCGGUGCUCUCACAGGAGGGAGUUAUCUGGUUAGAUUUUAUGCUUCCUUUUAAGUCAUCUCAAAUCCUUUCUGGCAAGGGAUAAUUUUUAAAAUAUACGUAGAGAUCACUGUGUCCUGAAUCAUCCCCUAAUCUCUCUGUACUUGAAUAUCUUCUAUUUCUUCUGUUUCUGAAGCUAAUUUUAUUGUCACACACUGUUGUUGCCAUGGAUAUGUGUAUCCCUCAGAGAGGAAUUUCUGGUUUUACAAAGGCUCUUUCUAAGUUUCUUAGGGGGAAAAAAGAUACUUCACUUAGGAAAGAGCUUGCUUCAAGACCAUUUUUCCUUUGAGGUAUACAGUAUUUUAAAACACCUUACUCUAAACAUAUAAUUUCUUUAUCUUCAUCUUUUUUGACGGAAGCUAUUGGCCAUUCUCUUCCCCUGUUUAUUUUCUGCUUGUAAGUUUUUAUUUGCAAAGCAGUUACCAGAGUAAUUAGAAUGCAGUGAACCCUUGGGCUUGAACACGUUUGAAGAGCUAAAUGCUUUUUGAAUGAUUUUUUCCCCCAUGAGCCUUUUAAAAUAUAACUUCAAGUACCGCUGACUCUGAAUGUCAGCCAGUGGAGCUGAUGGGCUCUAACAUUUUUACUGCUGUCGGGAAGCUCUGAGCUUCAUCGGGAGAAAAGCACUUUCUGGAUGGAGAAGUUAAUUGGGGAGUUAGCAGUUUAACACGAUUAAAAAUAAGUUGUCAUUCACAACUGACUGAUUUUUGGCUCUGAGUUACUUCCUGGACUUAAUUUCCAUCGGCCAGAAAAGUAGGAACGUUGCCCUGGACAUGGGAGCAGGGCCCCCGGGCACCGAUGAUCUUCCACGAAUCUGGACAGGCUGCCUCCAGGUGCCUAAUCAAGUAAACCCAAAGUCAGAAAACACUCUCUCAGGAGGAGUGAUUUUGUAAGUUCCUGUCCCAUCUUUGAGAAAAAUAAAAUAAUAUUCUGCUCCGUUGGAAGGAAAGGAAAUCUGUAGAAAUAAGUAACAACCCUCAGAAAUUUCCCUGAGUCCAAGCUCCCCGACGCGAGGCUUGGGUGAGCGUCGGGAAGGAGCAACCCCAAGGCCAGAGGGGCUUCAGAUGUUGGCUUGUCUGCUUAGGACCGGGGGGUGAGUGAGGCACUUACCUUGAGAGCAAAACCUAAGGAGACACCCCCCACCCCAAAUGCUGUCAUCAAGAUAAAUCCUAUUUCAAUGCAGUAUUUAAAAAAUCAAGUCAGUGCAAAGAAACAGGACGUGGAGUGUGCCAGUGGGGACUUACAUGGACGAAUGAAUUGGUGAGGCCCCCCUGAGGUGGGCUGACACCUCAUCACCCCCUGACUGGAGCCGGCAGAAGGAUGAGAGAAAAUCCCCCACGUGACUGAGGUUUGUUUCUUUUGCCUAUUUUGUAGGGAUGGGGGUCAAAAUAGAAAUCAAAUGCAUUUAUUGAAAAAUGAAUUUGUGUAAUGUUUCCCACACACUUUAGUUUGUAAACUAAGGGUCUUAGUCAUUAGGUUGCAUAACUGUUAUUUUGCCAAUACAGAGUUUUACAUGAUUGCCUGUAUUCUUUUUAAAAAAAUUUAUUUUGUUGAAGAAUAGUUGAUUUACAAUGUGUUAAUUUCUGCUGGACAGCAAAGUGAUUCAGUUAUACAUAUAUAUAUAUUCUUUUUCAUAUUCUUUUCCAUUAUGGCUUAUUAGAGGACAUUGAAUAUCAUCCCCUGUGCUCUACAGCAGGACCUUGUUGUUUAUCCAUUCUGUAUAUACUAGUUUGCAUCUGCUUAAUUGUCUGUAUUCUUAUCACCAGAAUACGUGCUGUAGGCAGGCAGGGCUUUGUAGGUCUAUGCACUGCUGUUCCCUCUUGCAUAGAGUACCUGCUUAAUCAAUGACGUGAAAAACAAAUAACUCUAUGUAAGGUGGAGGUUUAGACUCUUCUAAAUAGUAGGAGAGAUGACAAGCUUCUGGUUUACAUUUUUAAGAAUUAAAUAAUGUCUAAUAUCAAUAUAUUCCUCUAUGUGUGCAUAUACCAUAAUUACAGUAAUAAUAGUAUUUGCUAUAACUUAUUCAACGAGACAAGUUGCUGUGGACAGAAUGUUUGUGUUCCCCCAGAUUCAUAUGUUGAAACCCCAAUGUGAUGGUGUUUGGAGGAGGGUGACAGGUCGUGAGAAUGGAGCCCCCCAGAUGGGAUUAGCAUCCUUACAAGAAAAGGACAGGGUCUCCAAGGUUUAUCAACAAGGUGUCCUGCAGUAAGUUUGCCUGCAUCUGGAGAAAACCUGGGCUCCAGGAGGAGUGGAUGCGUCUUCGGGAACACUGACGGUUGUGCAAAGGUUCAUGAGGAGUUAGGAGCACGCAGCCCCCGGCUGCCGUUUACAGCAGCAACUCGAGGGAACCGGAAAUUUUAUGUGUCAUUGUGGAAGAAGAUGAGAUUGCCUGCCUGCCUGGUGGAAAUGUGGUUUUGGUCACUACUAAUAAAGCUACUAUAAACAAUUAUGUACAGGUGUGUGUGGACCUAAGUUUCCGUUUCUCUGGGAUAGAUAACCAGGAGUGCAACUGACAGGUUGUCUGGAGAAUGACUUCAUAUGAUACAUUAUCGAAAAGGCUUUGAGUUCAUGAACUGACUGAAGACAAAUGAUUAAUCUACUCUCUAAUUAUCGGGGCUUUCAUCUUCACAUCCACCCAGUCGAUUAACUCAUAUGCUAUCAAUUCAGAAGGAUACAUGAUAGCAAGAAGAAAGAAGUGUUUUAUAAUCAAAUCAGAUAUUUCACUGGCAAAGGAGAGUGUCCUAAGGAGGGUAUCUGUAUGUACAGACAAGGUGUAUUUGAAGACCUGAUAAAUUGUGAUGGACAAAGUGAUGGGGAAAGACAAAACUACUCAGUAAGUGAAAUAUUGGAGAGACGAUCUUUUGAACCAUUUCAUGAAGCGAUUGCAAAAUUUCAGAGGUAGCCAAGUUUGAGCUGUUAAAAGCACACACUGAAUCUUGUAGUUUUCCCUAAAUUACCUUAUAUCACCUGUUUGUGAAGCUGACUUUAUGAAUUAUUUGAUUUUGAUGGAAGGACGGUCAUCUACAAAUCAUCAAAGACCUCUAUCUUAAAUUGGAAGAAGAUAAGAAAAGUAAGUUACUGAUGCCAUGAAAAUUCUCCCCAGAUCUGUGCAGUGUGUUCUAGAGAUGAAAUCAGUAGCGAGGACGCUGCACUGUGGCAGAAUUGUCACAGCACAGAGCGGACAACUCAUUAGCAGGUGAAGACAUCCUUAGAUGUCUCUCCGGGGUCUCGGGAGGGGAAAGCUGCCCUGAGUCUCUCAGUGUCUGGGCUGAACAUUCCCGCUUGGUUACACAGAUCCUGUAGCUGCACCAGACCUACUGAUGUGAGUACUGCAAAGGUCACGAGCAGGUCAAGAGACCGGGCACUUCGGGGAAUUCGCUCAAGAUACUGUGGCAGGGGUGAGGCAGCAAAACGAGUAAUGGGAGGGCAAUGCCUUUUAUUUUAUUUUUGUUUGAAAAUAGUCAAUACAUUACUAUACAGCUAUUAAAAGAAAAGAAUGAUUUAAAGAGAUAUCAAGAAUGUACCGUUAAGCAUGAAAAACAUAGCAGGGUAAUCCAUUCAUCAUCAUCUCUUUUUCUUUUUUCAUAAGAGCAAGUAUCAAAAACAGAGCUUCCCUAAAGUGUGACUCUAGGUGUGCAUUGUUUGUGUAAACAUGGACAAAGCCAUGGAGGGGCUCCCACCUGGCUGUGUAUUGUCACCUGGCUGGGGACAUUGGGAAGGGUGCUGUGUGCCACAGGUGUUGUACUAACCAGCAAGCAUGUUCUAUCCCCAUAAGUUUUGAAGAGAAAUGGAAAAAGGAAGAAAAUUAAAAAGAAAAACCAUUUAUUGCUCAAAUAGUACCAAAGCACCAGUCAUGGACAAUUUAAAAGAGCAAACAGGGGCUUCCCUGGUGGCGCAGUGGUUGAGAGUCCGCCUGCCGAUGCAGGGGACACGGGUCCAAGCCCUGGUCCGGGAAGAUCCCACAUGCCACGGAGCAACUAAGCACAUGCGCCACAACUACAGAGCCUGUGCUCUAGAGCCCGCGAGCCACAACUACUGAGCCCGCGUGCCACAACUACUGAAGCCCGCGCACCUAGAGCCCGUGCUCCGCAACAAGAGAAACCACCACAAUGAGAAGCCCGCGCACCGCAACGAAGAGUAGCUCCCACUCGCCGCAACUAGAGAAAGCCCACGCGCAGCAACAAAGACCCAAUGCAGUCAAAAAUAAAUAAAUAAAUAUAUAUUUUUUAAAAAAAGAGCAAACAGCAUCAUCAGAGUAUCAGCCCCAGCCCUGUAACCCAUAUCCUCCUAGUUUUCUGUUUCUUUGCUGCUUCUUGUCCUAAUGGAUAUGUUAUUUUUCAUACUUAAAAUCAUAGUAGAAGUAAAACUUUUAUUCUGUUUUCCUGACUUACCUUUGUAUUAGGCUUAUUAUUACAUGUUUCUAUAUUCUUCAUGCUUAUAAUUCUUGACAUAUUAAUUAAAAAACCAGAGAGAGGCUACACCAUAAUUUAUUUGGUCAUCUUUCAAUUAUGGGACAUUUGUUUGCAAUUUUUCUUGUUAAAAAUAUUAAAAUAAUAUAUAGGUAUCUGUAUAACACUUUUCCCACUUUUAAAAUUAAGUAAUCCCUUAAAUUAAAUCCCCAGAUUUAGAGUUUUAGAAAUGGAUAAAAAAUUAUGAAUACCUUCACUGUAAUACAUUCUAAGGAUUUCCUAAUAAUUUCUUUUUUUAAUAAAUUUAUUUAU